GGCGGGAUAGAGCAGUGGUAGCUCAAUGGCUUCCUUAGUCAUGAGACGGUGGUUCGAUUCCAUCUCCCGCAAUUUCCCA
RNAcentral lists this transfer RNA (79 nucleotides) under Siphoviridae sp. ctoyo6. RNAcentral's name for it is "tRNA-Arg". It matches the Rfam family "tRNA". Rfam says of the family: Transfer RNA (tRNA) molecules are approximately 80 nucleotides in length. Their secondary structure includes four short double-helical elements and three loops (D, anti-codon, and T loops). The record is from RNAcentral. Lineage: Duplodnaviria; Heunggongvirae; Uroviricota; Caudoviricetes.